RNAcentral lists this ribosomal RNA (97 nucleotides) under uncultured bacterium. RNAcentral's name for it is "partial 16S ribosomal RNA". The record is from RNAcentral.
CGGAUUGUAAACUCCUGUUAAGUGUGAAAAAAGAGUCGUCUUUAAUAGAGACGAAAGAUGAUGGUAACACUAGAGAAAGCACCGGCUAACUUCGUGC